AGAGUUUGAUCCUGGCUCAGGAUGAACGCUAGCGACAGGCUUAACACAUGCAAGUCGAGGGGCAGCAGGGGCGUAGCAAUACGCCUGCUGGCGACCGGCGCACGGGUGAGUAACACGUAUGAAACCUGCCCGUAGCAGGGGGAUAAGCGGAAGAAAUUCCGUCUAAUACCGCGUAAUAACCGUUUGGGGCAUCCCUUAAGGUUUAAAGGAGCGAUCCGGCUACGGAUGGUCAUGCGUCGCAUUAGCUAGUCGGCGGGGUAACGGCCCACCGAGGCGACGAUGCGUAGGGGUUCUGAGAGGAAGGUCCCCCACACUGGUACUGAGACACGGACCAGACUCCUACGGGAGGCAGCAGUGAGGAAUAUUGGUCAAUGGCCGAGAGGCUGAACCAGCCAAGUCGCGUGAGGGAUGACGGCCCUACGGGUUGUAAACCUCUUUUGCCGGGGAGCAAAGAGCGGGACGCGUCCCGCCUCGAGAGUACCCGGAGAAAAAGCAUCGGCUAACUCCGUGCCAGCAGCCGCGGUAAUACGGAGGAUGCGAGCGUUAUCCGGAUUUAUUGGGUUUAAAGGGUGCGCAGGCGGAAGCGCAAGUCAGCGGUAAAAUUGAGAGGCUCAACCUCUUCCCGCCGUUGAAACUGCGUUUCUUGAGUGGGCGAGAAGUACGCGGAAUGCGUGGUGUAGCGGUGAAAUGCAUAGAUAUCACGCAGAACUCCGAUUGCGAAGGCAGCGUACCGGCGCCCAACUGACGCUCAUGCACGAAAGCGUGGGUAUCGAACAGGAUUAGAUACCCUGGUAGUCCACGCAGUAAACGAUGAAUACUCGCUGUCCGGGGAGAUUGGUCUCUGGGCGGCCAAGCGAAAGCGUUAAGUAUUCCACCUGGGGAGUACGCCGGCAACGGUGAAACUCAAAGGAAUUGACGGGGGCCCGCACAAGCGGAGGAACAUGUGGUUUAAUUCGAUGAUACGCGAGGAACCUUACCCGGGCUCAAACGACGGAUGAAUACUUUUGAAAGGAGGUAGUCCUUCGGGACAUCCGUCGAGGUGCUGCAUGGUUGUCGUCAGCUCGUGCCGUGAGGUGUCGGCUUAAGUGCCAUAACGAGCGCAACCCCCAUCGCCAGUUGCCAACAGGUAAAGCUGGGAACUCUGGCGAGACUGCCGGCGCAAGCUGUGAGGAAGGCGGGGAUGACGUCAAAUCAGCACGGCCCUUACGUCCGGGGCGACACACGUGUUACAAUGGCGGAAACAGAGGGAGGCGAAGCGGCGACGCGGAGCGAACCCCAAAAACACCGCCCCAGUUCGGAUUGUAGUCUGCAACCCGACUACAUGAAGCCGGAAUCGCUAGUAAUCGCGGAUCAGAAUGCCGCGGUGAA
This 1368-nucleotide ribosomal RNA is filed under the name uncultured bacterium. Its description in RNAcentral is "bacterial SSU rRNA". It matches the Rfam family "Bacterial small subunit ribosomal RNA", at positions 8 to 1366 of the family's 1533-position model. The record is from RNAcentral.